This 206-nucleotide unclassified non-coding RNA is filed under the name Hevea brasiliensis (rubber tree). Lineage: Eukaryota; Viridiplantae; Streptophyta; Magnoliopsida; Malpighiales; Euphorbiaceae. The record is from RNAcentral.
GUCUCCCUGAAGUUGUAUAACCUAAUGCAAAUCGAACAUAAAUAAACAUAGUCAACCAGCAGCUUUACACAAAAAACAACUGCUAAGUUUCAGCUCAGCCACCCCAUAUUUGGAUAAAGUGAAAGUGUUCUGUGUUCAUACAAUUGAUUUUAGCAUCGAAAAGGAGGGCCUCCUGGGAGAACUAACCUGGCCUAGCUCAGGAUCUU